This 470-nucleotide long non-coding RNA is filed under the name Marmota marmota marmota (Alpine marmot). RNAcentral's name for it is "lncRNA (ENSMMMG00000011709.1)". The record is from RNAcentral. Lineage: Eukaryota; Metazoa; Chordata; Mammalia; Rodentia; Sciuridae.
CAUCUAGUGACUGAGCUCAUAUCAAGUGUCUAAAGAAGACAGUUUCUGAGGAUAGGGUCAUGAUGGUUGCUGAAGCUUCUACUCCAGAGCUGAAGGGCAGCAGCAUUCAGCAGACCACUGACACUUCCAUACUGUUAAACAUCUGAGAAGGGUGUGCAUGCUAUACCAGAACCAAGAGCUCGAAGAGAAGAACCAUGUGUGGUGUGGAAUCUGUUAGGCUACUGGAAAAGAGUAGACAGAACACAGGGACACUAUAGCCAUGCUGCACACCAUACUUAUGCACAGACCCUAGACUUUCUGCAGACCAGACCUAAGAGUACAGCAACUGACAGGAGUCUCACUUGCUUCUUCCUUAAAUGUUGACCUGUCCUAGUGAAAGUGACAUCUCAGAUGAUCUUUAAACUUACACAUUCUGAGGCCAUCACAUGGAGUUAUCAGAUGUAGCAAAUAAAAAUACAGGAAGCUAAGGU